RNAcentral lists this ribosomal RNA (1547 nucleotides) under uncultured organism. RNAcentral describes it as "bacterial SSU rRNA". It matches the Rfam family "Bacterial small subunit ribosomal RNA". The record is from RNAcentral.
AGAGUUUGAUUCUGGCUCAGAACGAACGCUGGCAGCGUGGAUUAGGCAUGCAAGUCGAACGGGAAGCCAUGGUUUUGAUCCUUCGGGAGAUAAACCGUGGUGGAGAGUGGCGCAAGGGUGAGUAUCACGUGGGUAAUCUACCCUCGAGUCCGGGAUAACCCCGCGAAAGCGGAGCUAAUACCGGAUACGGUACCAUGUCGCAUGGCAUGGAUAUUAAAGGCGGGGAUCUUUCGGGACCUGCCGCUUGUGGAGGAGCCCGCGUCCCAUCAGCUUGUUGGUGAGGUAAUGGCUCACCAAGGCUUACGGGUAGCUGGUCUGAGAGGAUGGUCAGCCACACUGGGACUGAGACACUGCCCAGACUCCUACGGGAGGCUGCAGUCGAGAAUCAUUUGCAAUGCGCGAAAGCGUGACAAUGCGACGCUGCGUGGAGGAUGAAGGCUUUCGAGUUGUAAACUCCUGUCAUGAGGGAACAACGGGUCCGUCAGUAAUAUGGGCGGGCUGUGAUGGUACCUCAAGAGGAAGCCACGGCUAACUCUGUGCCAGCAGCCGCGGUAACACAGAGGUGGCAAGCGUUGUUCGGAUUUACUGGGCGUAAAGCGUGCGUAGGUGGUACCGUAUGUCGGGUGUGAAAUCCCGCCGCUCAACGGCGGAACUGCACUCGAAACUGCGGUGCUGGAGUCUAGGAUGGGAGAGCGGAAUUCUUGGUGUAGCGGUGAAAUGCGUUGAUAUCAAGAAGAACACCGGCGGCGAAGGCGGCUCUCUGGAAUAGUACUGACACUGUGGCACGAAAGCUGGGGUAGCGAACAGGAUUAGAUACCCUGGUAGUCCCAGCCGUAAACUGUGUGCACUUGGUGUGGGGAGUAUUGACCCUCUCCGUGCCGGAGUUAACACGUUAAGUGCACCGCCUGGGGAGUACGGCCGCAAGGCUAAAACUCAAAGAAAUUGACGGGUCCCCGCACAAGCGGAGGAGCAUGUGGCCUAAUUCGAUGCAACGCGAAGAACCUUACCAGGGCUUGACAUGCAGCUGCUUCCUUCCCGAAAGGGAAGGGUCCUUAGAGGGUGCUGCACAGGUGCUGCAUGGCUGUCGUCAGUUCGUGCCGUGAGGUGUUGGGUUAAGUCCCGCAACGAACGCAACCCUUAUGUUUAGUUGCUAUCAGCGGUGUUAAAUCGUUGAGCACUCUAGACAGACUGCCCGUACUAAGCGGGAGGAAGGUGGGGACGACGUCAAGUCAGUAUGGCCCUUACGCCCUGGGCUGCACACGUGCUACAAUGGCCGGUACAAUGGGAAGCGAUACCGCAAGGUGGAGCAAAUCCUCAAAGCCGGCCUCAGUUCAGAUUGGAGUCUGCAACUCGACUCCAUGAAGUCGGAUUCGCUAGUAACGGCGCAUCAGCUACGGCGCCGUGAAUACGUUCCCGGGGAUUGUACACACCGCCCGUCACAUCAUGAAAGCCGUCUGCACCCGAAGUCGCUGUGCUAACUCCGAGCUUGUCGAAGGGAAGCAGGCGCCGAAGGUGUGGGUGGUGAUUGGGAUGAAGUCGUAACAAGG